Molecule: ribosomal RNA, 481 nt
Filed under: uncultured bacterium
Lineage: Bacteria
Description: partial 16S ribosomal RNA
Rfam family: Bacterial small subunit ribosomal RNA
Source: RNAcentral
GACGAACGCUGGCGGCGUGCUUAACACAUGCAAGUCGAACGGUGAAGGAGAGCUUGCUCUCCGGAUCAGUGGCGAACGGGUGAGUAACACGUGGGCAACCUGCCCCAGACUUCGGGAUAACGCUUCGAAAGAGGUGCUAAUACCGGAUACGAACUCCUUUGGCAUCCUUGGAGUUUGAAAGUUUUUCGGUCUGGGAUGGGCACGCGGCCUAUCAGCUUGUUGGUGAGGUAACGGCUGACCAAGGCGACGACGGGUAGCCGGCCUGAGAGGGCGACCGGCCGCACUGGGACUGAGACACGGCCCAGACGCCUACGGGAGGCAGCAGUGGGGAAUAUUGCGCAAUGGGCGAAAGCCUGACGCAGCAACGCCGCGUGAGGGAUGACGGCCUUCGGGUUGUAAACCUCUUUCAGCAGGGAAGAAGCGAAAGUGACGGUACCUGCAGAAGAAGCACCGGCUAAAUACGUGCCAGCCGCCGCGGUAA